UGUUGGGUCUGUUGGCUUUCUAUACCUUUACUAUGGCCUCCCGAAACGUCCUUGUAAUUUUAUUGAGCACUACUGGAUAUAUCUUGUUUCAAAUACCAAAAAAAAAUCGUCUGAAUUGCAUGUUGUCAAUCAGGGAUGGAUAUUAGUCAUCUUUUUGUUGUGUGUGCGCAGCCAGGCACGCCUUACUGCUGGAUAGGAGCUGUCUUAAGUUGCUAGAGCUGAGGAGACAGCCGGGCACUCCUUGCUGCUGGAUGGGAACCGUCUACAUUUGCUAGAGUGUUCCUCUGGCUGCAGUCUUCUCUCAUAAGAAUGAGGGGGAUGAUGAUCCCUGCCCUGACUCUCCACACAGCCAGGGAGAGCGCGAGUAACGUGUGCACGCACACGAGCACGCACACACACACACACACACACACACACACACACACACUACUAGAUGUCUUUCUGGAUGUC
Molecule: long non-coding RNA, 450 nt
Organism: Engraulis encrasicolus (European anchovy)
Lineage: Eukaryota; Metazoa; Chordata; Actinopteri; Clupeiformes; Engraulidae
Exons: 3
Source: RefSeq, a predicted model, not a curated record